RNA transcript from Setaria italica (foxtail millet), 2345 nucleotides. It is a transcript of the gene named putative nuclease HARBI1, with no coding region annotated. The transcript is spliced from 4 exons. Lineage: Eukaryota; Viridiplantae; Streptophyta; Magnoliopsida; Poales; Poaceae. The record is from RefSeq and is a predicted model, not a curated record.
CUUGGCUCUCUCUCCCCAGUCCCCACCACACUCGCGUCUCACCGCCGCCGGCAGGUUGCGCCGUCCAGUGGCAGUCCCCCCGUCUCCGCGCCGCCACCCAACCCGUGCGCUCGCCACUGCCAGCCGCUUGUCCUCCUCCGCGACCGACGUUGCGCGCUUCACUUCUUCGUUAGCCGGUGCCGGGCGGCGCUCCUGCCCCAACGGCGAGGUGCGAUCCAGUCGGGAGGAGGAAUUUGCCUUUCCAUCGCCGUCUCCCCAUUCCCCAAAUUACACCCGCCGACCAAUCUCCACUGAUGAGCGGCGAAGCAGGCAUGUCCCAUCAAUCAGACACUUCAUCCUGCUCUGAUGAUUCCGAAGAUAGAAACACCGUCAACCCAACAGGCAUAUACACUAUGGAAGAAUUCAUUGCUGAGCACUGUGUCCUGCACAAUUUACUUGAGCGGAUCAGUGUGAAGAUUCAUGCCAAAAUCAAAGCACGGCAAGCUGGUAAAACUGGUACGUCUCGCCGCCGGACUGGUUUUCAUAGGAGAGUCAUAGAGAGAGAUCACGGAGAGGGUCAUCAACGGCUUGUCACUGAUUUCUUUUCUGAAGAUCCAGUCUAUGAUGAAAAAGUAUUCAGAACAAGGUACCGGAUGAGUAGACCCCUCUUUCUACGUAUUGUCCGUGCGCUAGGUGAGUGGUCCCCCUAUUUCACCAAGAGGACUGAUAUCUGCUAUCGCCAAGGGCUGUCACCUCUGCAGAAAUGCACAGCGGCAAUUCGUAUGUUAGCUCGUGGCUGUGCGGCAGAUGCUGUGGACGAAUAUGUGCAGAUUGGUACAAGCACAGCAAUGGAGUGUUUGGAGCGGUUUGCAGAAGGGGUGAUUGACAAGUUUGGCGGAGAAUACUUGCGAGGCCCUACUAGUGCUGAUAUGCAGCAUCUACUACAAAUUGGUGAAGGCCUUGGCUUCCCUGGCAUGUUGGGAAGCAUUGGUUGCAUGCACUGGGAGUGGGAAAAUUGCCCUCCUAAAUGGAUGCGUCGUCUUAAUCAUAGUGAUCACGGCUUUGCCACAUUUAUUCUUGAAGCUGUUGCUUCACAAGAUCUCUGGAUAUGGCACGCUUCUUUCAAUGCUGUUGGCUCCAUCAAUGACAUCAGUGUUCUCAAUCAAUCACCGUCGUUUACUCAAGUCUUGAAAGGACAAGCUCCCCCGGUGCAAUUUUCCAUCAAUAAGAGUCAAUACGAUAUGGGAUACUACCUUGCUGAUGAAAUUUACCCAGAAUGCACUGUAUUUGUUAAGACAAUACCCUUCCCUCGAACUGAAAAGGAACGAUUGUUUGCUAAACAUCAAGAAGAGGCAAGGAAGGAUGUUCAGCGCGCAUUUGGAGUCCUGCAAUCUCGUUUCCCCAUUGUUCGUGGUCCAAUUCGCUUUUUCCAACGAGCAACUCUUGGGAAAAUCCUGCAAGCUUGUGUCAUACUCCAUAACAUGGCAGUUCAGGAUGAGAAAGACAUGGCAAGUACUUGUUCUGAACCAAAUGAAGCUUCAGGUAUAACGGCUGUUUUACCAUCAAACAUCAAAACUGGGCCUGCCAAUUGCUUAACUAAUGUACUCCAGAGAAGUGCCCCUGUUUGUAGUCAAGCAACACAUGGCCAGCUAAGAAGGGAUUUAACUGAGCAUAUCUGGCAGCAGUUUGGGCCAUUUGGCGACAAGUAAAAAAGAUCUAGUAUUAGUGUACGAAGUCAUGUCGCUUGGUUGGUCACUGGCUAUAAUUAGCUGUAUAAACGGCUUUUUUUUUGGGGGAAAAAAGGCUGAUUGGCAGGAUACAAUCGUAGAGAGACUUUUGAAUUGUGAGCGAAGACUGCGCUUGCAGUCUUGUGAAGGCAUUUGCGCAGAGGAACAUCGACGUCGCUAAAGUAUGCGAGCUAGGUAUGACCAAAGAAGCGUGCCAGGCCAAGGCGGAUGCCGAGAAGGCAAAGGCGGAUGCCGAGAAGCAGCAGGCUCAGCAGCGGGAGGCCGAGCUGAGCAAGCUCGGUGCCUGCGACAGGUUGUUCGAGCGGCUGGCCGCCGGCGAGCGGACCGAGAUCAGCCGGGACAAAGACCUCAUGGCGUGCCGUCAGGAGAUGAAGACGUGCCCGGCCGACUGCCAGGGGAAGCAGUGAUGACCAGCUCCGCGCGCCGCCGAAGAACCGGGUCAUCUGUUUCAUUUCCCGCUAAUUAAUAAUUUCACUGCAGGCUCAAGCGGCAUCGUCGCACUGGCUUUACUUCCUUCCUUCCUUUUUUUUUUAUAAUUGCUUCCUUGUUUAAUUUAUUGCGGUUUCAAAUGGUGUGGUGUUUUUUUGUUGGACUAUUCAGCUUGUUGGUUUGAGUUGA